UCCAGCUGAAGUCAAACUUCUAAGGGUCUGCCAAGAAAGCGACCUGCUGGAGUCGUGAGCCACUGCUUUCUCUAUGAUGGAAGCCCUUGAGGUCUGAUGGCCAGAAAAGGUCCAGCUGUCCAUCAGGGACACCACAGCGUCCACUAGUGACAUGACCGCGGGAUAGACGCCUCCUGUUUCGCCUGUUGUGCAACAUCAGUAUAGAUUUGCCUGUGUCAUAGGCUUUACCAACCUACAGAUGAACACUUCCCAGGCAAAGUUACCUGAUACAUCUCCAGGAGAUACGCCCGUCCUUCCAAUGUUGGUCAGUAAAUGAUCUAUGUUUGGCACUGGCUGAGAUUCUACAGUGUUUUCCUCCUGAACUGUUGUCUAUGGUUAAUAAACAAAGAUCCCUUCAACA
Long non-coding RNA from Monodelphis domestica (gray short-tailed opossum), 400 nucleotides. RefSeq lists it as uncharacterized. The record is from RefSeq and is a predicted model, not a curated record. Lineage: Eukaryota; Metazoa; Chordata; Mammalia; Didelphimorphia; Didelphidae.